Pteropus alecto (black flying fox) is the source of this 73-nucleotide non-coding RNA. NCBI's taxonomy places the organism in Eukaryota, Metazoa, Chordata, Mammalia, Chiroptera, Pteropodidae. The record is from Rfam.
GGUUCCAUAGAGUAGUGGUUAGCACGUCUGCUUUACACACAGAAGGUCUUGGGUUCGAGCCUCAGUGGAACCA